UACAGAGGAGCCAAGCGUUGUCCGGAUUGACUGGGCGUAAAGCGCACGCAGGCGGUCUGGCGCGUGGGGUGUGAAAUCUGGCCGCUUAACGGCCAGGCGCCAUCCCAUACGGCCGGACUGGAGCCUUGCAGAGGUCGGUGGAAUUGCCGGUGUAGUGGUGAAAUGCGUAGAGAUCGGAAAGAACACCAACGGCGAAAGCACUCUGCUGGGCCGACACUGACACUGAGAGACGAAAGCUAGGGGAGCGAAUGGG
Molecule: ribosomal RNA, 253 nt
Filed under: uncultured bacterium
Lineage: Bacteria
Description: partial 16S ribosomal RNA
Rfam family: Bacterial small subunit ribosomal RNA
Source: RNAcentral